GGGCCAUUAGCUCAGGUGGUUAGAGCGCACCCCUGAUAAGGGUGAGGUCCCUGAUUCAAGUCCAGGAUGGCCCA
This 74-nucleotide transfer RNA is filed under the name uncultured cyanobacterium. RNAcentral's name for it is "tRNA-Ile". It matches the Rfam family "tRNA". From Rfam's summary of the family: Transfer RNA (tRNA) molecules are approximately 80 nucleotides in length. Their secondary structure includes four short double-helical elements and three loops (D, anti-codon, and T loops). Lineage: Bacteria; Bacillati; Cyanobacteriota. The record is from RNAcentral.